Hyalella azteca is the source of this 735-nucleotide long non-coding RNA. RefSeq lists it as uncharacterized. NCBI's taxonomy places the organism in Eukaryota, Metazoa, Arthropoda, Malacostraca, Amphipoda, Hyalellidae. The transcript has 2 exons. The record is from RefSeq and is a predicted model, not a curated record.
UGGGCAUUCUUUUACUGAUCAUGGUUUGAAGUGGCCAUUGAAUCGCAUGUCGUAAUUUUUAAUUAGUAUUUUGUACCUGGCCCAGAAUAUAACGAGCUGCUUCCCAUCUCUUUUCACAUUAGUUGGUGUUGCGUGAAUUCCUGCUGAAUAAUGCCUUGGCCUCAUUUUUGAGUGGCGGGUGGACGUGGGCAUCUGAUUCCAUUUAUCUCUUUAUGGUUCGCAUGGAAUCUAAUCGUCAGCGAGCUGUCACUGAAUCGAAGGAAUUCAGUGGGGAAAAGAAACUAGUGUGCCAAGAAGAUGCUCCGUACUCAUUGGUGACGGAGGGACUUCGGGUUAGAGAGGAGAUAAUCAUCUCGUUUUUGGAGGAUUUGAAAACUCCCGAAUAUUUGUCAAAUAUUCGGGAAUUUGUCCCGAAUAUUUGAAAACCGAAUGUCCUAGAUAGUCGCCUAGGAACUGUUGAGCCUCUACGGUCUACAGGAAUCUGUGCCAAUUGAAAGUGGGCACUUUAUUUGAGGACAGCCGUCCUAGUUUGUAACAUAGUUCUGACUUUUUUUCAGCAGGAAGUGGUGUCGAAACUUGCAGCUUAGAAGAAAUCCCAAAUUUUGUAUACGUCUCAUGCCACAGUGUUUUUAAUUCGGUUUAACUUCAUUUAUAGUCAGCAUUGUAUUGUCAUAACGUUAGAUUUUUUUUAUGAUCAGGUUCUUAGGGUUUUCAUAUAUAACUCCAUGGCCUGGC